CCGCACCAGGAAUCAGAUCAGCGCGUGUGUCAGCAAUCCGCGGGAGAACCGCUAGAGGAACCAGAUCUGGCUGGUCCAAGCUAUGUGUGUCGUAGUGGGAACCUGCAACACACGUCCAUGGAGGGUGGCGUAGCCAUGUCAGGCAGCUCCCUUGUCGACUGGACUAGGAAAAAACGGAUAGAUCUCCUAGUAGGGGAGGUUUCCCUUACAUGUCAACGGCGUCCUCUAGCAACAUCUUCCAUGGUCGGUUAGCCGGAGACAACGCAGCCUUCUACCGCGAUGAGGGGUGGGGAAUAGCUGCUCCUGACGGCGGCUGGUUUCGAGAAGCACCGUGGCAAGGAGUGAGGGAGG
This 351-nucleotide long non-coding RNA is filed under the name Hordeum vulgare. RNAcentral's name for it is "long non-coding RNA (HVUL_LNC014877)". The record is from RNAcentral. Lineage: Eukaryota; Viridiplantae; Streptophyta; Magnoliopsida; Poales; Poaceae.